RNAcentral lists this ribosomal RNA (1734 nucleotides) under Enterobacter hormaechei. RNAcentral describes it as "partial 23S ribosomal RNA". It matches the Rfam family "Bacterial large subunit ribosomal RNA", at positions 1 to 1552 of the family's 2925-position model. The record is from RNAcentral. Lineage: Bacteria; Pseudomonadati; Pseudomonadota; Gammaproteobacteria; Enterobacterales; Enterobacteriaceae.
GUGUUGAAGUUUUUAAGGGCGCACGGUGGAUGCCUUGGCAUCAAGAGCCGAUGAAGGACGUGGGAAUCUGCGAUAAGCCUGGUGGAGUCGAUAACCGGACGUUGAUACCAGGAUUUCCGAAUGGGGGAACCCCGCACCAUGUUAUGUGGUGUGACCUGCAGCUGAAUGUAUAGGCUGUGUGGAGGGAACGCGGGGAAGUGAAACAUCUCAGUACCCGCAGGAAGAGAAAACAAUAGUGAUUCCGUUAGUAGUGGCGAGCGAACGCGGAUGGGGCUAAACCGGUUGGUGUGUGAUAGCGGAUAGGCGUUGCAUCAUCGGGGUUGUGGGGUUGACAUGUACCAGUGCUAUCUUGCUGGUGGGAUGAGGUGCAGGCGUAUAGGUGAAUCGGUUGGAAUGCCGGACCAUAGAGGGUGAUAGUCCCGUAGGUGUAAUGCGUGUCUGCCGUUCUAGUGUUGAUACCCGAGUAGCACGGGGCCCGUGAAACCUUGUGUGAAUCUGCCAGGACCACCUGGUAAGCCUGAAUACUACUUGAUGACCGAUAGUGAAUCAGUACCGUGAGGGAAUGGUGAAAAGUACCCCGGGAGGGGAGUGAAAUAGUACCUGAAACCGUGCGCUUACAAUCCGUCAGGGCCUGGGACUUGUUCCUGGGUGAUGGCGUGCCUUUUGAAGAAUGAGCCUGCGAGUUAGUGCUGUGUCGCGAGGUUAACCCGUGUGGGGUAGCCGUAGCGAAAGCGAGUCUGAAUAGGGCGUUUGAGUGGCACGGUCUAGACCCGAAGCGAAGUGAUCUACCCAUGGCCAGGUUGAAGCGCGUGUAAGAGCGUGUGGAGGACCGAACCCACUUCAGUUGAAAAUGGAGGGGAUGAGCUGUGGGUAGGGGUGAAAGGCCAAUCAAACUUCGUGAUAGCUGGUUCUCCCCGAAAUGCAUUUAGGUGCAGCGUUGCGUGUUUCUUGCUGGAGGUAGAGCUACUGGAUAGGCGAUGGGCCCUACAAGGUUACUGACCUUAGCCAAACUCCGAAUGCCGGUAAGUGAGAGCGCAGCAGUGAGACUGUGGGGGAUAAGCUUCAUAGUCGAGAGGGAAACAGCCCAGAACGCCAACUAAGGCCCCUAAGCGUGUGCUAAGUGGGAAAGGAUGUGGAGUUGCUGUGACAACCAGGAGGUUGGCUUAGAAGCAGCCACCCUUGAAAGAGUGCGUAAUAGCUCACUGGUCAAGUGAUUCCGCGCCGAUAAUGUAGCGGGGCUCAAGCACACCGCCGAAGUUGCGUCAUUCAAAUAUUAACCUGGUUUCGAUUGGGUGUUUGGAUGGGUAGGGGAGCGUCGUAUAGCGGGUGAAGUCGCGGUGGAAACCAGCGGUGGACGCUAUACGAGUGAGAAUGCAGGCAUGAGUAGCGAAUGACGGGUGAGAAACCCGUCCGCCGAAUGAUCAAGGGUUCCAGGGUUAAGCUAAUCUGCCCUGGGUUAGUCGGGGCCUAAGGCGAGGCCGACAGGCGUAGUCGAUGGAUAACGGGUUGAUAUUCCCGUACCGGCGAAGGACCGCCCAUACUGAGCUGUGGAUGCUAACCAUGAUGGAUCAUGAUUGUUGCAGCCUUCGGGUUGUUGGUUGUGUGAUGUGGUGGGAACCGAUGCAGUGAGGUCAGCGUAUUAACAGGUGUGACGCAGGAAGGUAGCCGAGCCAGGCAAUGGAAUUGACCUGGUCCAAGGGUGUAGGAAGAGUGGUUGGCAAAUCCGCCGCUCAU